GGGGAUGUAGCUCAGUGGGAGAGCGCCUCCUUGGCGUGGAGGAGGUCGAGGGUUCAAUCCCCUCCAUCUCCACCA
This 75-nucleotide transfer RNA is filed under the name Actinomycetota bacterium. RNAcentral describes it as "Actinobacteria bacterium (aquatic metagenome) tRNA-Ala". It matches the Rfam family "tRNA". Rfam says of the family: Transfer RNA (tRNA) molecules are approximately 80 nucleotides in length. Their secondary structure includes four short double-helical elements and three loops (D, anti-codon, and T loops). Lineage: Bacteria; Bacillati; Actinomycetota. RNAcentral also lists the same sequence under 1 other name. The record is from RNAcentral.